Molecule: long non-coding RNA, 1761 nt
Organism: Tupaia belangeri chinensis (Chinese tree shrew)
Lineage: Eukaryota; Metazoa; Chordata; Mammalia; Scandentia; Tupaiidae
Exons: 5
Source: RefSeq, a predicted model, not a curated record
GCCAGGGCCUCGGUGAGAUAACAGAUGAGGAAGUGCAAUGUGUCACGUGCUCCACAGGUGAGGCUCCAGUCUUUUGUCUCUUUUCCCCCAGAACCUGUGCCCUCCCCCAAGAUCCUGAUCCAGUCAACAUCCGUCUCGUCAGACUGGUGCAAUGUCACCCUGCUAUGCUCAACCUCAGGAACUACAGAGAGCCUCAUGGUGACCUGGGAGAGCAAGGACAUCCCCAGAGAACUAGAGCAGAGAGGGACGCCAGGACCAGUCCCCAACCCCUGGACCCUGACUCUGAGGCUUCCCUUGAGCCAGCAUAAUGCCAGCCUUACCUGCGUGGUCAGCAAUGACGUGGACCGGAAAAGUGACAACUCAGACCUUGGGAACAUCUGUGCCAAACAAAAAAGUGCACAUGAACAGGCCGUAGUUGGACCCCUGCAAUGCAUCAUAAAAUCUUCUCUGGUUGUACUGUUGAUCCUGGUGGCUGGACUGUUUUGGAAGACUUGUGAGAAGAAGACUAAGACAAUGCAGAAUUGCAGGAAGACCACAGGGCAAUGGCAAUAACAUCUAUGGAAAUCUGACGGAGUAGGAGUCUGCCUCAGAAUGGGUAUCAGUGAACAACAGCUGGAAGAAGAGGAGCUUCUCGCUACUAUCUACACGGAGAUCCAUAGACCAGCUCAGGCCAUGAAGAUCAUUUAAUUGGAGGAAGCAGGAAAAAUCCAGCACUCCUGGGACACCUUCACUUUGAGCUUGAAACCUGCAUACAUCUGCCUGUACUGACUUCAGUCCAGCCCUAGCUCCUGCUCUGCAUUACCCUUACUGUGGCCACAGUUUCCUGGGAAGCAGUGGUCCUAUCAUUUCCUUGGCUCCCUCCAGCAGCUGCCCAGACACAGAGACUGUAUAAGUGCUGAUCGUGCUCUGGUGGAUGGAAUUAGGACCUGGGUUUCGGAUGAUGAGUUGCGGGGUGGAGACCUAGAUCCCCGGACUUCACUAUCUACACACAUUCUCUCUCCGAGGUGGUGACCAUCUGCCAAUCCCAGGACUCUGAACGGUAUGUUAUUUUUUGUGGCAAUAGAGACUUCGCAGCUGUGAUCGAGGUUUAGAACCUUGAGGUGGGAUAUUAUUCUGAAUGAUCUGGGUGGGACCGAAUUUUAAAUUUUAAAUUUAAAUUUCUUAGAAUUUUAAAUUUCUUAAAUUAGGACUCACAAUUUAAUCAUGUAAGUCCUAAAAAGUGGAAGGAAAGAAAACUGGGUCAGAGAGACAGGAUGUGAGGACUUGACCCCUAAUGCUGACCUUCAGAUUAGAGUAAGGGGAUCACAACCAAGAUGUGGCAGCUUCUAGAACCUGGGACAAGCCCUGAGUUACAGCCAACAAGAAAAUGAGGAUCUUAAACUUACAGUCCCAAAGAAAUGAAUUCUGGCACAAGAAUGAUCAGGAAAUACUUACCAAGAACAAGAAUGUAAAAUUCUCUGUUGUAAAUGAUAUAUAUGGUAAUAUCAUUGAUUAUAUUGUUACUAUAUGUAUAUUUUGAAAACCAUAUUGUGUACUAUAGAGAUGUACAAUAGUGGAAUGAAAAUAAGAAAUUUUAAGAUUAAAAAAAAGAAAAAUGUUGUGGCCAGCAGGUGGUGUGGUGGUUCAGUUGGUGGAUUCCUGUAUGGCCAAACUUGAUUCAAGUCCUGGACCUGGUAGCUUGCUUUUUCACUUUCCUUUUCUCUCUCUGGUCAAAUUAAAAACUAAUAAUAAUAAUAAAUAAAUUUAAAUAAAUAAAUAAUU